UGGUCAAGUUAUUAAGGGUGCAGGGCGGAUGCCUUGGCACUAGGAGCCGAUGAAGGACGUGAUAAGCUGCGAUAAGCUUCGGGGAGUUGCACGUAAACUUUGAUCCGAAGAUUUCCGAAUGAGGAAACUCACUUAGAGUAAUGUCUAAGUAUCAUUAAGUGAAUACAUAGCUUAAUGAGGGGAACUCAGGGAACUGAAACAUCUAAGUACCUGAAGGAAGAGAAAGAAAUUCGAUUCCGUAAGUAGCGGCGAGCGAACGCGGAUUAGCCCAAACCAAUAAAGUUUUCUUUAUUGGGGUUGAGGACAUACCACAUAUAAGAGGUCAUUAUAGACGAAGAAGUUUGGAAAAACUCAUCAUAGAAGGUAAUAAUCCUGUAGUCAAAAUAAUAAUUCUUUAGGUAUGAUCCAGAGUACCACGGGACACGUGAAACCCUGUGGGAAGCAGGAGGGACCACCCUCCAAGGCUAAAUACUACCUAGUGACCGAUAGCGUAUAGUACCGUGAGGGAAAGGUGAAAAGAACCCCGGGAGGGGAGUGAAAUAGAACCUGAAACCCUGCACUUACAAGCUGUGGAAGCACAUUUCUUGUGUGACCGCGUACUUUUUGUAGAACGGGCCAACGAGUUACGUUAAGUAGCAAGGUUAAGCACUUAAGGUGCGGAGCCGUAGCGAAAGCGAGUUUUAACUGAGCGUUCAGUUACUUGACGUAGACCCGAAACCGGGCGACCUACCCAUGAGCAGGAUGAAGCGAAAGUAAAAUUUCGUGGAGGUCCGAACCCACGAGCGUUGAAAAGCUCGGGGAUGACUUGUGGGUAGCGGUGAAAUUCCAAUCGAGCCCGGAGAUAGCUGGUUCUCCCCGAAAUAGCUUUAGGGCUAGCCUCAAGGUGAGAGAUACGGAGGUAGAGCACUGAAUGUCCUAGGGGGUAUUGCACCUACCGAAGACUAUCAAACUCCGAAUGCCGUCAUCUUAUACUUGGGAGUCAGACUGUGGGUGAUAAGAUUCAUAGUCGAAAGGGCAACAGCCCAGAUCGUCAGCUAAGGUCCCUAAAUGUAAGUUAAGUGGUAAAGGAUGUGGGAUUGCACAGACAACCAGGAUGUUGGCUUAGAAGCAGCCACUCAUUCAAAGAGUGCGUAAUAGCUCACUGGUCGAGUGAUCCUGCGCCGAAGAUUUCCGGGGCUAAAACUUACUACCGAAGCUACGGCAUCAGUAAUGAUGGGUAGGGGAGCUUCCCAUACGGGUUGAAGCAUGACCGUAAGGACAUGUGGACAGUAUGGGAGUGAGAAUGUUGGCAUGAGUAGCGAGAUGUGGGUGAGAAUCCCACAGGCCGUAAACCCAAGGUUUCCAGGGGAAGGUUCGUCCGCCCUGGGUUAGUCGGGACCUAAGCUGAGGCCGAAAGGCGUAGGUGAUGGACAACAGGUUGAUAUUCCUGUACUACCGAUAACCGUUUGAGAGAAGGGAUGACACAGUAGGAUAAGCUAAGCACACUGUUGGUUAUGUGUGCCCAAGCAUUGAGGCAGUCAAAGUAGGCAAAUCCGCUUUGAUAAUGCUGGGAUGUGAUGGGGAGCGAAAUUUAGUAGCGAAGUAGCUGAUUUCACACUGUCAAGAAAAGUCUCUAUCGAGGUUAAAGGUACCCGUACCGCAAACCGACACAGGUGGGUGAGGAGAGUAUCCUAAGGCCAGCGAGAGAACUGUUGUUAAGGAACUCGGCAAAAUGACCCCGUAACUUAGGGAUAAGGGGUGCCACCAUCAGGUGGCCGCAGAGAAUAGGCCCAAGCGACUGUUUACCAAAAACAUAGGUUUCUGCUAAGUCGCAAGACGAUGUAUAGGAGCUGACGCCUGCCCGGUGCUGGAAGGUUAAGGGGAUCUGUUAGAGCAAUCGAAGCAGUGAACUUAAGCCCCAGUAAACGGCGGCCGUAACUAUAACGGUCCUAAGGUAGCGAAAUUCCUUGUCGGGUAAGUUCCGACCCGCACGAAAGGCGUAACGAUUUGGGCACUGUCUCAACAACAGACUCGGUGAAAUUGUAAUUCCGGUGAAGAUGCCGGAUACCUGCGACAGGACGGAAAGACCCCAUGGAGCUUUACUGUAGCUUGACAUUGGGUCUUGGUACUACAUGUACAGGAUAGGUGGGAGGCUUUGAAACCAGGACGCCAGUUUUGGCGGAGCCAUCCUUGGGAUACCACCCUUGUAGUACUGGGACUCUAACCAUAGGCCAUGAAUCUGGUCUUGGGACACUGUCAGGUGGGCAGUUUGACUGGGGCGGUCGCCUCCCAAAAGGUAACGGAGGCGCUCAAAGGUUCUCUCAGUACGGUCGGAAAUCGUACGUAGAGUGUAAAGGCAAAAGAGAGCUUGAUUGCAAGACAUACAGGUCGAGCAAGGAUGAAAAUCGGACUUAGUGAUCCGGUGGUUCUGCGUGGAAGGGCCAUCGCUCAACGGAUAAAAGCUACCCUGGGGAUAACAGGCUUAUCUCCCCCAAGAGUCCACAUCGACGGGGAGGUUUGGCACCUCGAUGUCGGCUCAUCACAUCCUGGGGCUGCAGUAGGUCCCAAGGGUUGGGCUGUUCGCCCAUUAAAGUGGUACGCGAGCUGGGUUCAGAACGUCGUGAGACAGUUCGGUCCCUAUCCGUCGCAGGCGUAGGAAAUUUGAGAAGACCUGUCCUUAGUACGAGAGGACCGGGAUGGACGUACCUCUGGUGUACCAGUUGUCCUGCCAAGGGCAUGGCUGGGUAGCUAUGUACGGAAUGGAUAAGCGCUGAAAGCAUCUAAGCGCGAAGCCAACUUCAAGAUAAGAUUUCCCACCGCAAGGGUAAGACCCCAGAAAGACUAUCUGGUUGAUAGGUCGAAGGUGUAAGUGCAGCAAUGUAUUUAGCUUAUCGAUACUAAUAGGUCGAGGACUUGACCAAU
RNAcentral lists this ribosomal RNA (2901 nucleotides) under Clostridioides difficile. Its description in RNAcentral is "23S ribosomal RNA". It matches the Rfam family "Bacterial large subunit ribosomal RNA". The record is from RNAcentral. Lineage: Bacteria; Bacillati; Bacillota; Clostridia; Peptostreptococcales; Peptostreptococcaceae.